This 322-nucleotide ribosomal RNA is filed under the name Cercomonas sp. RNAcentral describes it as "SSU rRNA". The stretch from base 60 to 322 matches the Rfam family "Eukaryotic small subunit ribosomal RNA", at positions 692 to 955 of the family's 1831-position model. The record is from RNAcentral. Lineage: Eukaryota; Cercozoa; Cercomonadida; Cercomonadidae.
GAUUUCUGGUACGGCGCGCUUGGCCCGCCAGGGUUACCUGGUUGUGUGCUGGUGCGCGCCUGCCAUCCUUUUGCAUAUCAGUUCUAUCCUUUACUGGUGUGAACUGGUGUGCAAAUCAUUUACUUUGAAAAAAUUAGAGUGUUUCAAGCAGGCUUUAUGCUAUGAAUACAUUAGCAUGGAAUAAUAAUUUAGGACUUCGGUUCUAUUUUGUUGGUUUCUAGGACUGAAGUAAUGAUUGAUAGGGAUAGUUGGGGGUGCUAGUAUUCAGCGGCCAGAGGUGAAAUUCUCGGAUUCGCUGAAGACUAACUUAUGCGAAAGCAUU